RNAcentral lists this ribosomal RNA (254 nucleotides) under uncultured bacterium. RNAcentral's name for it is "partial 16S ribosomal RNA". It matches the Rfam family "Bacterial small subunit ribosomal RNA", at positions 524 to 776 of the family's 1533-position model. The record is from RNAcentral.
CACGUAGGGGGCGAGCGUUGUCCGGAAUCAUUGGGCGUAAAGAGCUCGUAGGCGGCUCAGUAAGUCGGGUGUGAAACCCUCAGGCUCAACCUGGGGACGCCACCCGAUACUGCUGUGGCUAGAGUCCAGUAGGGGAGUGUGGAAUUCCCGGUGUAGCGGUGAAAUGCGCAGAUAUCGGGAGGAACACCAGCGGCGAAGGCGGCACUCUGGGCCGAAACUGACGCUGAGGAGCGAAAGCGUGGGUAGCAAACAGG